UUGCAGCCCGACCUGAGUGGAAAUCCUUUUUUGCUGCUGGAAAAACGAGGGCAAAAAAGAUUGGGAACGGAGGGCGGAAUAGCU
Non-coding RNA from Chryseobacterium sp. MOF25P, 84 nucleotides. Lineage: Bacteria; Pseudomonadati; Bacteroidota; Flavobacteriia; Flavobacteriales; Weeksellaceae. The record is from Rfam.